UUGAGAGCUGAGGACAUGGCCGUGUAUUUCUGUGCAAGAGCGCCCCAGUGGAUUGACUUUGACUACUGGGGCCAAGGCACCCUGGUCACCGUCUCCUCAGAGAGUGUGUCUUCCCCAAACCUCUUCCCCCUCGUCUCCUGUGAGAACCCCCUGUCCGAUGACAGCCGACUGAUCGUGGGCUGCCUGGCCAAGGACUUCCUGCCUGACUCUGUCACCUUCUCCUGGAGCUAUAAGAACAACAGUGGCAUCAGCAGCCCGGCUAUCCAGAGCUUCCCGUCGGUCCUGAGAGAGGGCAAGUACGCCGCCAGCUCCCAGGUGUUCCUGCCCUCUAUUGACAUCAACCAGGGUACAGAUGAGUUUGUGAUGUGCAAUGUCAAACACUCCAACGGUGACAAAAAUGUGCAAGUGCCCAUCUCAGGUGGUGGGGACCCACUGAAACCCAAUGUGAACAUCUUCAUCCCACCCCGUGAUGGCUUCUCCGGCACCAACCCCCGCAAGUCCAGACUCAUCUGCCAGGCUACGGGCUUCCGCCCCAAGAAGAUCUCUGUGUCCUGGCUGCGGGACGGAAAGCCUCUGGACUCCAACUUCACCACAGACAAGGUGCAGGCUGAGCCCAAAGGGCCUGGACCUGUGACCUACAGUGUCAGCAGCACGCUGACCAUCACCGAGAGUGACUGGCUCAGCCAGAGCUUGUUCACCUGCGAAGUGGAACACAAUAAUGAGAGCCUCCAGAAGAACGUGUCAUCUGUGUGUAGCGCUGGUGCAUCCUCCAUCAAAAUCUUCACCAUCCCCCCGUCCUUUGCCAGCACCUUCCUCACCAAGAAUGCCAAGCUGUCCUGCGUGGUCACAGACCUGACCACCUAUGACAGCCUGACCAUCUCCUGGACCCGUCAGAGUGGCAAGGAUCUGAAAACCCACACCAACAUCUCUGAGAUCUUCCCCAAUGCCACCUUCAGUGCCGUAGGAGAGGCCACCGUGUGUGUGGAGGAAUGGGAGUCAGGAGAAAGUUUCACGUGCACGGUGACCCACACAGACCUGCCCUUCCCACUGAAGCACACCAUCUUCAGGCCCAAGGAAUCCAAGAAGAACAUGCCCUCUGUGUACGUGCAACCGCCCACCAGGGAACAGCUGAGCCUUCGGGAGUCAGCCUCGGUCACCUGCCUGGUGAAGACCUUUUCACCCCCAGACGUGUUUGUGCAGUGGAUGCAGAGAGGACAGCCUAUGCCCCCCGACACGUACGUGACCAGCUCCCCGCUGCCUGAGCCCCAGCACCCCGGCCUAUACUUCGUCCAUAGCAUCCUGACCGUGAGCGAGGAGGACUGGAGUGCCGGGGACACCUUCACCUGCGUCGUGGCCCAUGAGGCCCUGCCCCACUUGGUGACCGAGAGGACCGUGGACAAGUCCACCGAGGGGGAGGUGAGCGCUGAGGAAGAGGGUUUCGAGAACGUGAACACCAUGGCCUCCACAUUCAUCGUCCUGUUCCUGCUAAGUCUCUUCUACAGCACCACAGUCACCCUGUUCAAGGUGAAAUGACCCACCGGACAGGAACAUGGACACCAAGGAGCCAGAACCAAGGGGCCCCCGCCAGCCCUCAAAUCUGCCUGUGCUACCCCCUAGCUUCCAGCACUAAGGAGCAGCUUCUCUGGACAUGGCCCUGUGUGGAGGGAGUGCGGGGCCCAGGUGUCGCUUUGCAGUGGGUGCGCUUGUCACCUUGAAAUAAAUGUGCACAUUUUA
This is a non-coding RNA of Phyllostomus discolor (pale spear-nosed bat), 1734 nucleotides long. NCBI's taxonomy places the organism in Eukaryota, Metazoa, Chordata, Mammalia, Chiroptera, Phyllostomidae. The record is from the annotation of a RefSeq genome assembly.